This 1436-nucleotide unclassified non-coding RNA is filed under the name Orussus abietinus. RNAcentral describes it as "uncharacterized LOC105699065, transcript variant X1". Lineage: Eukaryota; Metazoa; Arthropoda; Insecta; Hymenoptera; Orussidae. The record is from RNAcentral.
UCGGUUUCGGCAUCCCCCGAGAAAAUCAUCCUUUCGGCCGACUGUUCAGGAAUUAAAUUCACCGGGUGUCGGCGCGAGGAUGCGGCUCUUCAGGGUCCUCUUCAAGGCGUGAGCGUCCCUCGCGGCACUGUCGCAGCGCCCCCAGGACUCCUGUGGCACUUCCAAGACAUGCCAAGGAUCGUCCUGCGAAGUUCCUUCUGACUUUCCAGUCCCCCUAAAUUCAAAGGUCUUUGGGAUGAACGAGAAAUUUAAUCGCGGACCUGUGGACUCUUAAAUUGGUCAGGAAGCUGAGGAAGGAUAUACGGCUCCUUGGCGAGCGAGGUGUAGGUUUUGCCGAUGAUCCAGGAACUGGUGAGGGGGUAACGAGGGGGAGUUUGCCAGGAUGGUGGGAACGGCGCCCAAGAUGUCGGCCGUGGUGGUCUCCGCCAUCAGGGACCUCAGGGAGGUGCGGGGCUCGACCUCGAAGGAGAUCAUGAACUACAUUUCCUCUGAAUAUGGCGGGACCAGUCCAGCGAUCCAGCGCCAGGUGUUAACCGCGCUGAACCGUGGUCUGGCCUACGGGAUCCUGAAGAAGGUCCACGGGCACUACACCCUCAACUCGGACCUGGCGGACUUCAACCCGAGCAGCAUGGUGCCCGAGGAUUCUUGUAAAAAGAAAAUGAAGAGGAAGAAGAAAAAGAAGAAGAAGCGCGCCGGAAAAUGCGGCAUGAAGCGAAAGGUGAAGAGGAAGAAAAAGAAGAAGAAGAUGAAGAAGAUGAGUGGCUGCGGGAAGCGGAAGAGUGCGAAGAAGCGCAAGAAGAAGAUCAAGGCUAAGAAGUGCAUGUGCGGGGGCAGAGGUCGCGCCCAGGGUGACGGGGUGGAGGCCCUUCCCUUGGAGAUACCCCCGAAGAUCAUCAGCGAGUUCGAGACGGAGUCCCCGAGGUUCGAGGAUGACGAUCCUGACUUGGAGAGUGGGGCCGGAAACGAGCUCAAUGGCGACGACUACGCGAACCCUGACUGCGAUAAUCCUGACUACGACAACCCUGACUACAAUGACAGAGAAGAAGCUGGUGGCAGAAGUCGCAGCGGCAGCAGGAGCAGCAGGAGCAGCGACAGCAAUGAGCAACCUCCCAGCACGGAUGGCCUCCUCAUCUAGAAGAUGGUACCUCGAAGAAGGGUUCCCACCGCGUGGCGUCUGUUACGUUCUUCCUGGACCUGAAGGGUUCGUCCCUCGAGCCCUUCAGGCUCGUCCUUUAGCCCUGAUCCUGCAGUCCCCCUGGAACCCUGCUCAUUGCAAGUUCACAUCCAUGACAUCGCUGAACAGGAAAGCGUCCAUGAUGUAGUCCCUGCAGUUCCUGAAGAGGCACAGGGUUCCUGCAAGACGAAUGCCCGCGUUAUCAGAGCGCAUCGUAGGUGCAGGACGGUGUCCUCCCCUAAUGUCCCCUCGUCCUGUCCGU